RNAcentral lists this ribosomal RNA (467 nucleotides) under uncultured bacterium. RNAcentral's name for it is "partial 16S ribosomal RNA". It matches the Rfam family "Bacterial small subunit ribosomal RNA", at positions 28 to 507 of the family's 1533-position model. The record is from RNAcentral.
GACGAACGCUGGCGGCGUGCUUAACACAUGCAAGUCGAACGGAAAGGCCUCUUUCGGGCGGUACUCGAGUGGCGAACGGGUGAGUAACACGUGAGUAACCUGCCCUUGACUUUGGGAUAACUUCAGGAAACUGGGGCUAAUACCGGAUAGGAGCUCCUGCUGCAUGGUGGGGGUUGGAAAGUUUCGGCGGUUGGGGAUGGACUCGCGGCUUAUCAGCUUGUUGGUGGGGUAGUGGCUUACCAAGGCUUUGACGGGUAGCCGGCCUGAGAGGGUGACCGGCCACAUUGGGACUGAGAUACGGCCCAGACUCCUACGGGAGGCAGCAGGGGGGAAUAUUGCACAAUGGGUGGAAGCCUGAUGCAGCAACGCCGUGUGCGGGAUGACGGCCUUCGGGUUGUAAACCGCUUUCGCUCAUGACGAAGCUUUGUGUGACGGUAGUGGGUAAAGAAGCACCGGCUAACUACGUG